Molecule: long non-coding RNA, 876 nt
Filed under: Marmota monax (woodchuck)
Lineage: Eukaryota; Metazoa; Chordata; Mammalia; Rodentia; Sciuridae
Source: RNAcentral
CGAGCCCGCUACCGCUUGAGCCACAUCCCCUGUUAAUACUUCUAAUUGAAUUGAAAUAAAGCUCUAUUACCUUUAUUAAGGGAUAAAAAAUCAACAUAAAUUUAAAAUUCAAAAGAAAACACUAAAAGUAUUUUUGGACUAAAAGUUCAAAAGUGAACACUUCUACAGUAUACUGUAUUUCCCAGGGCACAGUGAUUUGGGCCUAGGUAGAAGGUCUUACAGUAGGUUACAUAGUAUGCAUUCACAGAAGUGGGGCAUUUUUUAGUCAGUCAUCUCUGGCUUUGAAUUGUACCUGCAACACUGACUUAUUGUGUGACUCUGGGAAAUUUACCUAUUCAACCUCUCUAACCAUUUAGAAGGAAAAUAAUAAUACUUGCCUGACAAGAUAAUCAAGAAGUAGAUAAGGUAGUGAACAUGAGAUACCUGUUAAAGAACCUGAUGCUGAAAGGUUAAAGAAAUUGAAAUGUAAAGGAUAAGAUUUGUUUCAAGUUCUGUAAAAACAACUCCCGGAAAAGCCACUAAAAUGUAUGUUGAAAUCUCCCCUGACCAUCUGGUUGCUCUGUAAAAACAACCCCCCCCCUACCCAGAAACCGUGCAGUCCGGCACGUACACACCUCAGGGCUUAAGCCAAUGAGUUAGAAUGUAUACCCUUCUUUGUGCUGACCAAUCACCCCUACCCGACUUGUUCCCGCCAGUGAAUGUACUAAUCAUGGUUAAGAGUUGUUUGAUUUUCCCGUGGCAUGUGAUGAUUUGUUAUGCUGUAUGUGAAGUCCCUGCCCUUUCCAAAGAACGUAUAAAAGCUCUGCUCAAGCUGUUCUAGGGGCUCUUGGCUCUUUACCCCUUCGAGGUGAGGUUGGAGCCCCAGCAUGCUGGACC